This 500-nucleotide ribosomal RNA is filed under the name uncultured bacterium. RNAcentral describes it as "partial 16S ribosomal RNA". It matches the Rfam family "Bacterial small subunit ribosomal RNA", at positions 30 to 523 of the family's 1533-position model. The record is from RNAcentral.
AUUGAACGCUGGCGGAAUGCUUUACACAUGCAAGUCGAACGGCAGCACGGACUUCGGCCUGGUGGCGAGUGGCGAACGGGUGAGUAAUGUAUCGGAACGUGCCCAGUCGUGGGGGAUAACGUAGUGAAAAUUACGCUAAUACCGCAUACGAUCUAUGGAUGAAAGCGGGGGAUCGCAAGACCUCGCGCGAUUGGAGCGGCCGAUAUCAGAUUAGGUAGUUGGUGGGGUAAAGGCCCACCAAGCCAACGAUCUGUAGCUGGUCUGAGAGGACGACCAGCCACACUGGACCUGAGGACCGGUCCAGACUCCUCCGGGAGGCAGCAGUGGGGAAUUUUGGACAAUGGGCGAAAGCCUGAUCCAGCCAUUCCGCGUGCAGGAUGAAGGCCCUCGGGUUGUAAACUGCUUUUGUACAGAACGAAAAGGUUUCUACUAAUACUAGGAGCUCAUGACGGUACUGUAAGAAUAAGCACCGGCUAACUACGUGCCAGCCGCCGCAGUAA